This 452-nucleotide ribosomal RNA is filed under the name Dietzia sp. RNAcentral's name for it is "bacterial SSU rRNA". It matches the Rfam family "Bacterial small subunit ribosomal RNA", at positions 305 to 769 of the family's 1533-position model. The record is from RNAcentral. Lineage: Bacteria; Bacillati; Actinomycetota; Actinomycetes; Mycobacteriales; Dietziaceae.
CGGCCACACUGGGACUGAGACACGGCCCAGACUCCUACGGGAGGCAGCAGUGGGGAAUAUUGCACAAUGGGCGGAAGCCUGAUGCAGCGACGCCGCGUGGGGGAUGACGGUCUUCGGAUUGUAAACCCCUUUCAGUAGGGACGAAGCGUGAGUGACGGUACCUGCAGAAGAAGCACCGGCCAACUACGUGCCAGCAGCCGCGGUAAUACGUAGGGUGCGAGCGUUGUCCGGAAUUACUGGGCGUAAAGAGCUCGUAGGCGGUUUGUCACGUCGUCUGUGAAAUCCUCCAGCUCAACUGGGGGCGUGCAGGCGAUACGGGCUGACUUGAGUACUACAGGGGAGACUGGAAUUCCUGGUGUAGCGGUGAAAUGCGCAGAUAUCAGGAGGAACACCGGUGGCGAAGGCGGGUCUCUGGGCAGUAACUGACGCUGAGGAGCGAAAGCAUGGGGAGC